UGGGGGUUCGGCCCUCGGCGAACGGCUCAUAACACGUAGAUAANUUGCCCUUAGGUGGAGGAUACCCUCGGGAAACUGAAAUAAUACUCCAUAGAUUUAGAAUGCUGGAAUGCUUUUAAAUUGAAAGAUUUAUCGCCUAAGGAUAAGUCUGCGGACUAUCAGGUCGUAGUUAGGGUAAAUACCUGACUACCUACGACGGAUACGGGUUGUGAGAGCACUAGCCCGGAAUGAUAUCUGAGACACGAUAUCAGGCCCUACGGGGCGCAGCAGGCGCGAAAACUUCGCACUGUGCGAAAGCACGACGAGGGAAUCCCAAGUGCUGGCUCGUAAGAGUCAGCUGUUUCUUUGUCUAAAAAACAGAGAGAGUAGAGCUGGGUAAGACGGGUGCCACCGCCGCGGUAAUACCUGCACUCAAGUGGUGGCCGCUAUUAUUGGGCCUAAAACGUCCGUAGCCGGUUCUAUAAAUGCCUGGUAAAUCGUACGGCUUAGCCGUUCGACUUCCGGGUAUACUGUU
Molecule: ribosomal RNA, 514 nt
Filed under: uncultured archaeon
Lineage: Archaea
Description: bacterial SSU rRNA
Rfam family: Archaeal small subunit ribosomal RNA
Source: RNAcentral